ACCUACGGGAGGCAGCAGUAGGGAAUCUUCCACAAUGGGCGAAAGCCUGAUGGAGCAACGCCGCGUGGGUGAAGAAGGUCUUCGGAUCGUAAAACCCUGUUGUUAGAGAAGAAAGUGCGUGAGAGUAACUGUUCACGUUUCGACGGUAUCUAACCAGAAAGCCAGGGCUAACUACGUGCCAGCAGCCGCGGUAAUACGUAGGUGGCAAGCGUUAUCCGGAUUUAUUGGGCGUAAAGGGAACGCAGGCGGUCUUUUAAGACUGAUGUGAAAGCCUUCGGCUUAACCGGAGUAGUGCAUUGGAAACU
This 305-nucleotide ribosomal RNA is filed under the name uncultured bacterium. Its description in RNAcentral is "bacterial SSU rRNA". It matches the Rfam family "Bacterial small subunit ribosomal RNA", at positions 337 to 634 of the family's 1533-position model. The record is from RNAcentral.